RNAcentral lists this ribosomal RNA (394 nucleotides) under uncultured bacterium. RNAcentral describes it as "partial 16S ribosomal RNA". It matches the Rfam family "Bacterial small subunit ribosomal RNA", at positions 523 to 918 of the family's 1533-position model. The record is from RNAcentral.
AUACGGAGGAUGCAAGCGUUAUCCGGAUUUAUUGGGUUUAAAGGGUGCGUAGGCGGAUGAUUAAGCGUGAGGUGAAAUGCCACUGCUCAACAGUGGAACUGCCUCGCGAACUGGUUGUCUUGAAUGCUCCUGCCGUGGGAGGAAUGUGUGGUGUAGCGGUGAAAUGCAUAGAGAUCACACAGAACACCGAUUGCGAAGGCAUCUCACGAAGGGGUGAUUGACGCUGAGGCACGAAAGCGUGGGGAUCAAACAGGAUUAGAUACCCUGGUAGUCCACGCAGUAAACGAUGAUAACUAACCGCUGGGUCGUAGUAAUUCAGUGGCCAAGCGAAAGCGAUAAGUUAUCCACCUGGGGAGUACGACCGCAAGGUUGAAACUCAAAUGAAUUGGCGGGG